AUGUCAGUAACAGCCUCUGUGAGAGACUCUGCCUCCUUCCUGUCUUCUCUGAUGAAACUCCAUGUGGUUUUGUAUGAGGCUAGGAGGGUGCUUCAGACCUGGGCUCCCCAGAUGAAGAGUUUGAGGCUGGGGCUAGUGACAGGUCAUUCGUGUGUCAGGUUGGGGACCAUGUUGCUCUUGGGGAUAAUUUUUCUCCCGAGCAUAUACUGUGACAUGGCCUCGGUAUAUUACUCUUCCCAUGAAAUAUUCAUCCCAAAGCGGCUGAUGGUCAGGGGAAGUGAAGACGCAGCGGAAAAGGCAACCUAUUUGCUACUUAUGCAAGGCCAGAAACACUUGGUUCACCUGAAGGUGAAGAGAAGUCAUUUUGUGAAUAACUUUCCAGUCUACAGUUACCACAAUGGCAUCCUGGGGCAAGAAGUACCUUUCAUCUCACAUGACUGCCACUAUGAAGGCUACAUAGAAGGAGUGUCAGGUUCUUUUGUUUCUGUCAACAUCUGUGCAGGUCUCAGGGGCAUCCUGAUUAAGGAGGAAAAAUCUUACAGCAUUGAGCCCAUGGACUCUUCAAGACGGUUUGAACAUGUGUUAUACACCAUGGCACAUCAAGCGCGAGUCUCCUGUGGUGUCACUUCCAGAGACAGCCAUGUGGUGUCUGCUAGCUGGCAACAAGGGAGCAGGAAGCUCCAUGAUCUACAGGCGCUGUCCUACUUGUGGUCACACAAAAAGUACGUGGAGAUGUUUGUCGUGGUCAACAACCAGCGGUUCCAGAUGUGGGGCAGUAACGUCAAUGAGACGGUCCAGAGAGUAGUGGAUGUCAUUGCUCUGGCCAACAGCUUCACUAGGGGAAUAAAUACAAGGGUGGUGCUGGCCGGAAUGGAGAUUUGGACCGAGGGGGACCUAAUAGAUGUCACAGUGGACUUGCAAAUCACACUCAGGAAUUUCAAUCACUGGAGACAAGAGAUGCUCUUCCAUCGUGCAAAGCACGAUGUUGCCCACAUGAUCGUUGGGCAUCACCCUGGACAGAAAAUGGGCCAGGCCUUUCUCAGUGGUGCCUGCUCAAGCGGUUUUGCAGCAGCUGUUGAAUCCUUCCAUCAUGAAGAUGUGCUGUUGUUUGCAGCCCUGAUGGUCCAUGAGCUCGGGCACAACCUGGGUAUUCAGCACGACCACUCGGCCUGCUUUUGUAAAGAUAAGCACUUUUGCCUCAUGCAUGAAAAUAUCACAAAAGAAAGUGGCUUCAGCAACUGCAGCUCUGACUACUUCUACCAGUUCCUUCGAGAACACAAAGGGGCCUGCCUAUUUAACAAGCCAUGGCCCAGGGGCCGCAAGCGUAGGGAUUCUGCCUGUGGAAAUGGCGUGGUGGAGGACACGGAGCAGUGUGACUGUGGUUCUCUAUGUCAGCGUCACCCAUGUUGUGAUGAAAACUGUAUACUGAAGGCGAAAGCAGAGUGCAGUGAUGGUCCAUGUUGUCAUAAGUGUAAAUUUCAACGUAAGGGAUAUCCUUGCCGUCCUUCUAGUCGUUCCUGUGAUCUCCCAGAAUUUUGCAAUGGUACAUCUGCAUUAUGCCCCGACAACAGGCAUAAGCAAGAUGGCUCAAAAUGUCAUAAAAUUUACGAGUGCCUUAAAGGUCAUUGUAUGGACCCUAAUAAUCAGUGCUUAGAAUUAUUUGGAUAUGGUGCAAAAUCAGCCUCACAAGAGUGUUACAAUUCAAUGAACAGCAAAGGGGACCGAUUUGGAAACUGUGGCAUUUCUACCAGUCCUAGGUCACAAUAUGUUCGGUGUUCAGAUGGUAAUAUAUUUUGUGGGAAACUUAUAUGUUCAGGUAUUAUAGGCUUACCAAAAAUCAAUCUCCAACAUACAGUGAUUCAGGUCCCUCAGGGAGAUGGCUCAUGUUGGAGCAUGGAUGCCUAUACGAGUACUGACAUUCCUGAUGAAGGAGAUGUGCACAAUGGCACUUACUGUGCACCAAACAAAGUCUGCCUAAAUUCCGCCUGCACAGAUAAAACCCCAGUGAUUUUUGCCUGCAACCCAGAAAAAACGUGUAAUGGGAAGGGAGUUUGUAAUGAUUUAGGGCACUGCCACUGUAAUGAAGGGCAUGCCCCCCCUGACUGUGUUACUGCAGGAGGUGGAGGUAGUGUGGACAGUGGCCCUCCUGGUAAGCCA
Molecule: small RNA, 2157 nt
Filed under: Pongo abelii (Sumatran orangutan)
Lineage: Eukaryota; Metazoa; Chordata; Mammalia; Primates; Hominidae
Description: unitary pseudogene
Source: RNAcentral